RNAcentral lists this ribosomal RNA (467 nucleotides) under uncultured bacterium. Its description in RNAcentral is "partial 16S ribosomal RNA". It matches the Rfam family "Bacterial small subunit ribosomal RNA", at positions 28 to 507 of the family's 1533-position model. The record is from RNAcentral.
GACGAACGCUGGCGGCGUGCUUAACACAUGCCAGUCGAACGGAAAGGCCUCUUUCGGGGGGUACUCGAGUGGCGAACGGGUGAGUAACACGUGAGUAACCUGCCCUUGACUUUGGGAUAACUUCAGGAAACUGGGGCUAAUACCGGAUAGGAGCUCCUGCUGCAUGGUGGGGGUUGGAAAGUUUCGGCGGUUGGGGAUGGACUCGCGGCUUAUCAGCUUGUUGGUGGGGUAGUGGCUUACCAAGGCUUUGACGGGUAGCCGGCCUGAGAGGGUGACCGGCCACAUUGGGAAUGAGAUACGGCCCAGACUCCUACGGGAGGCAGCAGUGGGGAAUAUUGCACAAUGGGUGGAAGCCUGAUGCAGCAACGCCGUGUGCGGGAUGACGGCCUUCGGGUUGUAAACCGCUUUCGCUCAUGACGAAGCUUUGUGUGACGGUAGUGGGUAAAGAAGCACCGGCUAACUACGUG